Molecule: ribosomal RNA, 1421 nt
Filed under: Staurois latopalmatus (Sabah splash frog)
Lineage: Eukaryota; Metazoa; Chordata; Amphibia; Anura; Ranidae
Description: partial 16S rRNA
Rfam family: Bacterial large subunit ribosomal RNA
Source: RNAcentral
GCCAUAAAUCUAGCCCGCAUCCCCAGAAAUAUCAACCCGAAUUUACCAAAAUUCAAUAAAACAUUUUUAUGUUAAAGUAGAGGAGAUCAAAAAAUCUCUAAGCGCUUAAGACAAGGUACCGAAAGGGAAAGAUGAAAUAGAAAUGAAACAACCUACAAGCCCAUAAUAGCAGAGAUUCACCCUCGUACCUUUUGCAUCAUGGUCUAGCCAGUCUCCUCUAGCAAAAAGAAACUAAAGUUUGACACCCCGAAACUAAGUGAGCUACUUCAAAACAGCCCUUAGGGCCAACCCGUCUCUGUUGCAAAAGAGUGGGAAGAUUUUCAAGUAGAAGUGAAAAGCCUAUCGAACUUAGAGAUAGCUGGUUGUUCAGGAAAAGAGUUUUAGCUCCACCUUAAGCAUCCUUAUUACCACAAACAACAUAUUAGGCUUAAGAGUUAUUCAAAUAAGGCACAGCUUAUAUGAAUAAGGAUACAACCUACAAUAACGGGUAAACUAGGGAACUAUUACUAAAGUUGGCCUGAAAGCAGCUACCUUUAAAAGGGCGUCAAAGCCUUAAUAUAUUAACCCUCAAUCUCAUAAUUUAUAAUGAACCCUCCCACACUACUGAACUAUUUUAUAAUUAUAUAAAAGAAAUAAUGCUAGAACUAGUAAUAAGAGGUAGCCCCUCUCCUAAAUGUUAGCUUACGCCAUAACGGACCUACCAAUGGCCAUUAACGCCUAUGAAAAUACUAUAGUAACUUUUCUAGAAAACCCUAUUAUUAAUUACGUUAAUCUUACACAAGAACAUUUCAGGAAAGAUUAAAAGAGUAAGAAGGAACUCGGCAAACAUAAACCCCGCCUGUUUACCAAAAACAUCGCCUCUUGAUUAACUAUAAGAGGUCCAGCCUGCCCAGUGACAUAGUUCAACGGCCGCGGUACCCUGACCGUGCGAAGGUAGCAUAAUCACUUGCUCUUUAAAUGGGGGCUAGUAUCAACGGCAUCACGAGGGUUCAACUGUCUCCUUUAUCUAAUCAAUGAACCUGAUCUCUUCGUGAAGAAGCGAGGAUAAAAAUAUAAGACGAGAAGACCCCAUGGAGCUUUAAACUCGAUGUGCACCUAAAUAAGCACUCACACCCUCUCAGCCCUUUAGAAUUGUACAUCAGUUUUGGGUUGGGGCGACCACGGAGAAAAAUAUAACCUCCACGACAAAUGGAUUAAAAUCCUAAUCCAAGAAUUACCUUUCUAAGAAUCAACAGAUUGAUGUAAAUUGAUCCGAAAACCUCGAUCAACGGACCAAGUUACCCUGGGGAUAACAGCGCAAUCUACUUCGAGAGCCCAUAUCGACAAGUAGGUUUACGACCUCGAUGUUGGAUCAGGGUAUCCCAGUGGUGCAACCGCUACUAAAGGUUCGUUUGUUCAACGAUUAAAACCCUACGUGAUCU